CCGACCUUGGAGGAAGCUCGAGGCAAGACAGGGUCUCACUAUGUAGCCCAGGCUGGCCUUGAACUUGCAGCAGUUCUCCUGCCUCAGCUUCUCAAGUGCUGGAAUUACAGGUGUGCCCCAUCACGCCUGGCUUAACUACAGUUUUUUUUUAAAGCCAAUGUUAGAAAGAGGAGGCCCGUUUGCCUUGGCAGGGAAGCUACCGCUGAUCCUGGAGCAGUCCCUCACCUGGUCCACUUUGUCACCUCCGCCGCCGCCGGCACCUGGAGCAUGCACUGGUGUGAGCAGUGGCCUCGUCUUCCACUGGCUGUGCCUUGAGGGGGCCGCUGGGCCUGUGCAGCAGAGCCGCUGUGACCGUGGUGCCGAUACCUGGAUGUUUGCUCAGCGAGUUGGAAGAAGGUAGAAUAAUAUCGUUUGGUCUUUUUGCAUUUGCAAACGAAGCUGCUGGUCACAGAGCCCCAACUUUCUGCCUCUUCCUUGGCUUCCUGUGUAUCAGCACAAGUGACACAACCUACCUUUUGUCACUGCAGCUCAGGGGACCUUUCGCCUGGC
Heterocephalus glaber (naked mole-rat) is the source of this 549-nucleotide long non-coding RNA. The record is from Ensembl. Lineage: Eukaryota; Metazoa; Chordata; Mammalia; Rodentia; Bathyergidae.